GGGGAUACAGCUCAGUGGUAGAGUUCUUGACUAACAUGUAAGAGCCCCUGGGUUCAAUCCCCAGCACUGCCA
This 72-nucleotide transfer RNA is filed under the name Heterocephalus glaber (naked mole-rat). It matches the Rfam family "tRNA". Rfam says of the family: Transfer RNA (tRNA) molecules are approximately 80 nucleotides in length. Their secondary structure includes four short double-helical elements and three loops (D, anti-codon, and T loops). Lineage: Eukaryota; Metazoa; Chordata; Mammalia; Rodentia; Bathyergidae. The record is from Rfam by way of RNAcentral.